GGACCGCUGGCGCAACGGUAGCGCGUUGUAAGUUUAUCACUAUGCGAUUUAACUCUCCGUUUAUUAAUAAUUUCAUAGCGCCUCCAGAGCGAAAGGUUAUCCGUUCAAAUCGGGUGUGGUUCA
RNAcentral lists this transfer RNA (123 nucleotides) under Lachnellula suecica. Its description in RNAcentral is "tRNA-Asp". The record is from RNAcentral. Lineage: Eukaryota; Fungi; Ascomycota; Leotiomycetes; Helotiales; Lachnaceae.